ACGGAAGGCAGCAGUGAGGAAUAUAGGUCAAUGGGCGGAAGCCUGAACCAGCCAAGUCGCGUGAAGGAUGAAGGUAUUAUGUAUUGUAAACUUCUUUAGACGUAGAGAAAUAAGGAGGUCGUGACCUCUGAUGCUAGUAUACGUAGAAUAAGGAUCGGCUAACUCCGUGCCAGCAGCCGCGGUAAUACGGAGGAUCCGAGCGUUAUCCGGAUUUAUUGGGUUUAAAGGGUGCGCAGGCGGUCUUUUAAGUCAGUGGUUAGAUCGUGGAGCUCAACUCCAUCCCGCCAUUGAUACUGGAGGACUUGAUUGCGGUCGAGGUUGGCGGAAUUCGCCGUGUAGCGGUGAAAUGCAUAGAUAUGGCGAAGAACUCCGAUUGCGUAGGCAGCUGACCAGGCCGUAAAUGACGCUCAUGCACGAAAGUGCGGGGAUCGAACAGGAUUAGAUACCCUGGUA
Molecule: ribosomal RNA, 453 nt
Filed under: uncultured Porphyromonadaceae bacterium
Lineage: Bacteria; Pseudomonadati; Bacteroidota; Bacteroidia; Bacteroidales; Porphyromonadaceae
Description: partial 16S ribosomal RNA
Rfam family: Bacterial small subunit ribosomal RNA
Source: RNAcentral